Long non-coding RNA from Triticum aestivum (bread wheat), 1855 nucleotides. RefSeq lists it as uncharacterized. The record is from RefSeq and is a predicted model, not a curated record. NCBI's taxonomy places the organism in Eukaryota, Viridiplantae, Streptophyta, Magnoliopsida, Poales, Poaceae. The transcript is spliced from 3 exons.
CCUCCUUUCUUUCCUUAUCUUCACCACGAAGGCACGCCCUCUCUCUCGUUUCCUCUCACCUGCCGCCACAAGAGCCGCCGCAACAACGCAACACCGCCCAAGCACGCGACCUCCUCUCUCUCUCUCUCCCUGGUGUGAUCCGCUCUCCCACACAGCUAGACGAACGCCUUCAUCUCGAGCGGGUGAGUGGGUGAUCGGAGAGGGCGGCGCUGGCGGUUUCGAUCCGUGAUCUUUCUCGACGCGGAUGGCGGCGUAUCGAUCCCGCUGAAGCGGCUGGCGGCUUCCGGCCCAGGAGGCUUGGGGUGUUCGUGGCGGCUGCGAGGAGGUAGCGAUGGGGUUCUGCGACCGGAUGAGGAAAGGGCGCCGAUCUCGCUCCUCCUGCUCCCAAUCGCUGGCGCGGCCACCAUCGACCAGAUCUUCAGAACCUCAGUGUUGAAGCACAAAAUAGAAGGGGGUGAAUGAGGAGGCAAUGGUUGACGGCAACCAUGGGAGGAGGUCGGGGCGUCGAAGAGUAUUGAGUUGGCGAAUCCGGCGAGAUGUGGUUCAAGCAAAUGUUGAUGAUGCGGCAAUGAGAAGACCCUCUCUGUGAGCCCUAUCCCUCUCACUUGGAGUCUCGGUUUUUGUUUCUGGUGCUCCCUAUUUCUCUCCUUCAUUUUAGUGUUCGGUUCGUUGAAAACACCAGCUGCUAAGGUUCUUUAGACCGUUGUGAGAAAGCAUCCAUACUUCCAUAGGAAAAAUCUUGCACUUACCAAAUAGAAGUCUCAAAGUAGAGAGUGCAAGGAAUAUUUGAUCAUUGGCCAGAUGUGGUGAUGUGCAUCUGUUGAAUGAACCGUCCGUCCGGUCACCUCUAUUUUAUUUUGUGCUGAUUAUUGGUGAGUUUCAAACUUCCAAUUUGAUAGAUCCUGCAGAAGAAGAGCAUGGAGAACAUCUCCCUCUUCCUAUAUAUCUCAAAUUGGACUUACAGGUGAUCGAUCCAUGGAGUUGAAGUGUUUGUCAAAUUGCUUGCCAGGGUGAUUAGGAUUUUAUAGGUCACUAUUUGAUUUCUGUCAUAAUAUUUAAACUACUACUGAUCUUCUAAAAUGUUAUUUGUUAUUUCUUUCAGCUAUCAGCUGGUCAGUUUUGAUGUGUUUUCGACAUUACGAGCCUAUCACUUUUGAUGUGUUGGUAUUACAAUGAAACGGAGUUGCCAUUUCAGUUUGCAUCUACACUCUACUAUUUAUGCUUUUGAAGUACAUGUCAUUGCACAACUAUUGAUAUAUGAUUCAUAUAGAACUUGAUGAAUUGCAGAGUUAUACUUUCACAAUUUUAUAAGAUACUGAAACCAGUUCGCCUUCUUUUUGAUGAGGAGGUUCUCUUAGAAAAUCGGCACCUGAAGGUCACUAUUUUAAUUCCUAUAAUCAAUGGCUACAAAAUGCUUCUAGCUCUACAAUGAGGCUGCUUUGCACACCGCGUGAACUCUGCUUUGCACUUGCAGCGAUCGCGCCAUUUCUGGAAGCGGCAAGGGCGGUGGGUUGUACCUGUGCCGGUGCCAUCACUUGACGCUCCACCUGGAUGGCGCCGGGCUGGGAGCUGCGGGAAAUACGUGUAUUGAGGACCACGGUGUGCGGGUCAUGUGCCUGAUGCUAGACGCGAUGGUCGGGCACCAGACUGUCAUCGGCAACUACAAACAACAGAACAUGCGAGUCGUCUACAACCUUGAUAGAGCCAUGCUAUCCUUUGUGUCGGCGCACUAUAACUGUUCUGAACAAAGGAAGAACUUGUAAUCACAUGAAAUAUGCCAAUGUGGCAGUGGUACUGAACUGAAGCAACGAUUUCUUUGAAUGAAAUGUGAACUGGAAUGUAGAGCUGACAAAAA